Ictalurus furcatus (blue catfish) is the source of this 2116-nucleotide long non-coding RNA. RefSeq lists it as uncharacterized. The transcript is spliced from 3 exons. Lineage: Eukaryota; Metazoa; Chordata; Actinopteri; Siluriformes; Ictaluridae. The record is from RefSeq and is a predicted model, not a curated record.
UAUUAGGGGUUCAAGCAGGAGCGUCGUUAGGGCUAAUCAUUCGGGCUCGUGUGUCUAGCCCCGAAUGUUUUUUGCCCAGGAGUAGAAAUGUGAUAGGAAUUAAGUAUGUUAUUUGUUUAUAUUGUUCUCCGCUUGAUAUUUGCUUGUAUUUCCUCAUUUGUAAGUCGCUUUGACUGGAAGAAAGUUGGUUUGACGUUGGACGUUCGAUAUUCGGGGAAAUGCGGAAAUAAAGGGGCCGUCUCUAAAGUUACAUACGACAUUGUUAAACACGUUUCUAACUUCAAUAGCAUUUGAAGGGAAUGAUGUACAGUCACAAAACCAACUGGAAAGUGUUCAUCUAGGUGUCAGAUAUGAGAAAUGCCUUUUAGAUUUUUGAUAUUUUUCAAAAUAUACUAUUAAAUCACAUUUAAAUUAGACAUGAAUUUCACUGCAGAAUGGGCCCAUACACCAAAUAUACCAUUUUGUAAAGCUAAAUUGCAUUUGAAGGGAAUGACUUACAGUCACAAAACCAACAAGAAGAGCAAUGGGCCAAGAGAUCACAAACUCAAAGACCAGCAAGGCAUCGUUCAAAGUAUUUUUAUCCACCAAAAGCAGUGGCCCAACCAAAAAGACAAGACAAAGAAAACAUCUAAGGAUCAUUCAGAGGACACAUCAGCCCAGAUCCAAGCUCUGUGGUCUAAGAAAGCAUGUGAGAUAGUCAUUGCCAUCACACAGUCAAAGGAGAAAAAAAAGUCUUAUAUCCUGCAUCAUUCAGAGCUGAAAACACUCCAGCGUGUGGGAGAGAAAAUUAUUCAUACCUUUGGGAAAUGCAUUGCUCUUAUGACAAUUGAAAAAUAAUCUGUGAACAUAGAGGAAUAUAUUAACUUACGUAAAAAUGACAAUGUUAAGCCAUUGUUGAGUAUAUUGAAUAAAUGUUAAUGAAACACUGGAUGAGGUACCUAUAAUUUAUUUUUUAUCUUUUGUUCUUAGACAAUCCAAUGCUAUUUUCAAGUGGUGGUGAAUAACAGAGACCAGGGACACAAGAUUUUUUAUACUAGAUCACUACACAGCAAGUGUUAUACUUCAUGGAGAAGGAGAUGAAGUACGGAGAAACAGUCUCUCACAGGUAAAGAUUAUCUUUAUCUUUAAUUACCUUUAAUAAUUGAAUUGAAUUCAAUUUUAUUUGUAUAGCGCUUUUAACAUUGGACAUUGUCUCACAGCAGCUUUACAGAAACAAACACAGCAUACAGAUUUUAAGUGUGUGAAUUUAUCCAUAAUAGUUUAAGACAGUUACAUAACAAUGAAAUGUCAUAAGUGUUUAAUUUUAUUAUUUUUUUUUAAUUUCAGGUGGACUUUGAUGACUACGAGGGAAUGAUAAGUUUCCUGAAUGUCAACAGGAAUCAUUGGAUAUUUCUGUAUCUCCAUGCAGCAUCCAGCCAGGUGUUUGUUGUAGACCCAGCAGGACAUGAUGAAGAAGCAAAAUCCAUGCAUGUAGCCACUAGAUUUCAGUAAUAUUUUUAGCUUGUUAUAUACUGUACUUACAAAGAUGGGUUACAAAUUAGAAAAAAAACAUGACUGUGUGAAGAGGCCCACUACUUUUUGAUGUGUUUUCUUGUCACAGGGCAUUGAACGGUGAAUGAUAUGCUGUGUCCUUGUGUCCUUUUCUAUCACCGGAUCUUUAGUAAAUUAAACAAAAAAUUCAAUUUUGGACCAAACUCUCAGCGCUCUCCAGUAUCAUCUUGAAAAUGUAAAAAUUUAGAAAUAUAUUUUGAAAAAAUUAUGUUCUAUCCCUUCUGAUGGUGUUCCAGAGAGUUGGCAUAGCUCUUGCAGAUCUCUGGAUCCUUAACAAUUAUUUUCGUAAGAAUAAAAUGACAGGAUUCAAGUCUUUUACAUUGUGUAAGUAUACUAGUCUUCUCAUAAGAUUUUUUUUAAAUGCUGUCAAAUCCUUACAAUAAUUUUACUUAUUAACUUUUACUAUAAGUAGCAAGCAAUUCACAAUAAUUGUUAAGUGUAAAGUGAGUGAGAUAUGUAAAGACAAUAAUUACCAUAUACUACAUAUAUAGGAAAUUAGUAGUAAUAGUAAUAAUGUUUUAAUGCUUAAUGUUAUCCUGUCAAUCAUUUUGAUUCGCUUAACGCA